This 75-nucleotide antisense RNA is filed under the name Kitasatospora sp. Root187. RNAcentral describes it as "ASpks TB sRNA". It matches the Rfam family "ASpks TB sRNA". The record is from Rfam by way of RNAcentral. Lineage: Bacteria; Bacillati; Actinomycetota; Actinomycetes; Kitasatosporales; Streptomycetaceae.
CUUGAGCGAGCCGAGCCAGAGCGGCUGCCCCUCGGGGCGGUCCUGGCCGUACGUGGCCAGCAGCGCCCCCGCCUC